RNAcentral lists this ribosomal RNA (729 nucleotides) under uncultured bacterium. RNAcentral describes it as "bacterial SSU rRNA". It matches the Rfam family "Bacterial small subunit ribosomal RNA", at positions 78 to 803 of the family's 1533-position model. The record is from RNAcentral.
UGCUGCUUCGCUGACGAGUGGCGGACGGGUGAGUAAUGUCUGGGAAACUGCCUGAUGGAGGGGGAUAACUACUGGAAACGGUGGCUAAUACCGCAUAACGUCGCAAGACCAAAGAGGGGGACCUUCGGGCCUCUUGCCAUCAGAUGUGCCCAGAUGGGAUUAGCUUGUUGGUGAGGUAACGGCUCACCAAGGCGACGAUCCCUAGCUGGUCUGAGAGGAUGACCAGCCACACUGGAACUGAGACACGGUCCAGACUCCUACGGGAGGCAGCAGUGGGGAAUAUUGCACAAUGGGCGCAAGCCUGAUGCAGCCAUGCCGCGUGUAUGAAGAAGGCCUUCGGGUUGUAAAGUACUUUCAGCGGGGAGGAAGGUGUUGUGGUUAAUAACCGCAGCAAUUGACGUUACCCGCAGAAGAAGCACCGGCUAACUCCGUGCCAGCAGCCGCGGUAAUACGGAGGGUGCAAGCGUUAAUCGGAAUUACUGGGCGUAAAGCGCACGCAGGCGGUCUGUCAAGUCGGAUGUGAAAUCCCCGGGCUCAACCUGGGAACUGCAUUCGAAACUGGCAGGCUUGAGUCUUGUAGAGGGGGGUAGAAUUCCAGGUGUAGCGGUGAAAUGCGUAGAGAUCUGGAGGAAUACCGGUGGCGAAGGCGGCCCCCUGGACAAAGACUGACGCUCAGGUGCGAAAGCGUGGGGAGNCAACAGGAUUAGAUACCCUGGUAGUCCACGCCGU